UACGGUGCUGUAGGAUGUGGCUGCGGCCCGAUUAGGUAGACGGUGGGGUAACGGCCCACCGUGCCAGUAAUCGGUACGGGUGAUGAGAGUCAGAGCCCGGAGACGGUAUCUGAGACAAGAUACCGGGCCCUACGGGGCGCAGCAGGCGCGAAACCUUUACACUGCACGACAGUGCGAUAGGGAGACUCCAAGUGCGAGGGCAUACAGUCCUCGCUUUUGUACACCGUAAGGUGGUGUACGAAUAAGAACUGCGCAAGACCGGUGCCAGCCGCCGCGGUAAUACCGGCAGUUCGAGUGAUGGCCGAUAUUAUUGGGCCUAAAGCGUUCGUAGCUGGCCAAUCAAGUUUGUCGGGAAAUCCACGCGCCCAACGCGUGGGCGUCCGGCGGAAACUAUUUGGCUUGGGACCGGAAGACUCGAGGAGUACGUCCGGGGUAGGAGUGAAAUCCCGUAAUCCUGGACGGACUACCGAUGGCGAAAGCACCUCGAGAGCACGGAUCCGACAGUGAGGAACGAAAGCUGGGGUCUCGAACCGGAUUAGAUACCCGGGUAGUCCCAGCUGUCAACGAUGCCCGCUAGGUAUGGCACGGGCUACGAGCCUGUGCUAUGCCGCAGCGAAG
This 618-nucleotide ribosomal RNA is filed under the name haloarchaeon STR23. RNAcentral describes it as "bacterial SSU rRNA". It matches the Rfam family "Archaeal small subunit ribosomal RNA", at positions 195 to 811 of the family's 1478-position model. Lineage: Archaea; Methanobacteriati; Methanobacteriota; Halobacteria; Halobacteriales. The record is from RNAcentral.